Molecule: long non-coding RNA, 296 nt
Organism: Alosa sapidissima (American shad)
Lineage: Eukaryota; Metazoa; Chordata; Actinopteri; Clupeiformes; Clupeidae
Exons: 3
Source: RefSeq, a predicted model, not a curated record
AUUUGUUGUCAUUAAAGGGAGUAAUUAAGGACAAUUUAAGUAUAUCUUCAUUUUAUUUUAAGGUUAUUAAUACAGGGAUUCCUUGAUUAAGGGGGGAAAUUAAGAGGAAAUCGAAAUGUAUGGGGUAAAUUCAGUAGGCUUUUCUCCUUAAUUGACCUUAAUGCACAGUUUUACUUAAAAACUAAUACUAUAAAAUAAGGAUUUUAAGGUCAAAAGUAAGGCAUUAAUAAGUGGUGAAAUUAAGUGGUUUUGUUUCGUAGUGACCACAAUGAGGUUUUGAACACAACAUGAAGUAA